Molecule: ribosomal RNA, 2897 nt
Filed under: Escherichia coli
Lineage: Bacteria; Pseudomonadati; Pseudomonadota; Gammaproteobacteria; Enterobacterales; Enterobacteriaceae
Description: 23S ribosomal RNA
Rfam family: Bacterial large subunit ribosomal RNA
Source: RNAcentral
UUAAGCGACUAAGCGUACACGGUGGAUGCCCUGGCAGUCAGAGGCGAUGAAGGACGUGCUAAUCUGCGAUAAGCGUCGGUAAGGUGAUAUGAACCGUUAUAACCGGCGAUUUCCGAAUGGGGAAACCCAGUGUGUUUCGACACACUAUCAUUAACUGAAUCCAUAGGUUAAUGAGGCGAACCGGGGGAACUGAAACAUCUAAGUACCCCGAGGAAAAGAAAUCAACCGAGAUUCCCCCAGUAGCGGCGAGCGAACGGGGAGCAGCCCAGAGCCUGAAUCAGUAUGUGUGUUAGUGGAAGCGUCUGGAAAGGCGCGCGAUACAGGGUGACAGCCCCGUACACAAAAAUGCACAUAUUGUGAGCUCGAUGAGUAGGGCGGGACACGUGGUAUCCUGUCUGAAUAUGGGGGGACCAUCCUCCAAGGCUAAAUACUCCUGACUGACCGAUAGUGAACCAGUACCGUGAGGGAAAGGCGAAAAGAACCCCGGCGAGGGGAGUGAAAAAGAACCUGAAACCGUGUACGUACAAGCAGUGGGAGCACGCUUAGGCGUGUGACUGCGUACCUUUUGUAUAAUGGGUCAGCGACUUAUAUUCUGUAGCAAGGUUAACCGAAUAGGGGAGCCGAAGGGAAACCGAGUCUUAACUGGGCGUUAAGUUGCAGGGUAUAGACCCGAAACCCGGUGAUCUAGCCAUGGGCAGGUUGAAGGUUGGGUAACACUAACUGGAGGACCGAACCGACUAAUGUUGAAAAAUUAGCGGAUGACUUGUGGCUGGGGGUGAAAGGCCAAUCAAACCGGGAGAUAGCUGGUUCUCCCCGAAAGCUAUUUAGGUAGCGCCUCGUGAAUUCAUCUCCGGGGGUAGAGCACUGUUUCGGCAAGGGGGUCAUCCCGACUUACCAACCCGAUGCAAACUGCGAAUACCGGAGAAUGUUAUCACGGGAGACACACGGCGGGUGCUAACGUCCGUCGUGAAGAGGGAAACAACCCAGACCGCCAGCUAAGGUCCCAAAGUCAUGGUUAAGUGGGAAACGAUGUGGGAAGGCCCAGACAGCCAGGAUGUUGGCUUAGAAGCAGCCAUCAUUUAAAGAAAGCGUAAUAGCUCACUGGUCGAGUCGGCCUGCGCGGAAGAUGUAACGGGGCUAAACCAUGCACCGAAGCUGCGGCAGCGACACUAUGUGUUGUUGGGUAGGGGAGCGUUCUGUAAGCCUGUGAAGGUGUGCUGUGAGGCAUGCUGGAGGUAUCAGAAGUGCGAAUGCUGACAUAAGUAACGAUAAAGCGGGUGAAAAGCCCGCUCGCCGGAAGACCAAGGGUUCCUGUCCAACGUUAAUCGGGGCAGGGUGAGUCGACCCCUAAGGCGAGGCCGAAAGGCGUAGUCGAUGGGAAACAGGUUAAUAUUCCUGUACUUGGUGUUACUGCGAAGGGGGGACGGAGAAGGCUAUGUUGGCCGGGCGACGGUUGUCCCGGUUUAAGCGUGUAGGCUGGUUUUCCAGGCAAAUCCGGAAAAUCAAGGCUGAGGCGUGAUGACGAGGCACUACGGUGCUGAAGCAACAAAUGCCCUGCUUCCAGGAAAAGCCUCUAAGCAUCAGGUAACAUCAAAUCGUACCCCAAACCGACACAGGUGGUCAGGUAGAGAAUACCAAGGCGCUUGAGAGAACUCGGGUGAAGGAACUAGGCAAAAUGGUGCCGUAACUUCGGGAGAAGGCACGCUGAUAUGUAGGUGAAGUCCCUCGCGGAUGGAGCUGAAAUCAGUCGAAGAUACCAGCUGGCUGCAACUGUUUAUUAAAAACACAGCACUGUGCAAACACGAAAGUGGACGUAUACGGUGUGACGCCUGCCCGGUGCCGGAAGGUUAAUUGAUGGGGUUAGCCGCAAGGCGAAGCUCUUGAUCGAAGCCCGGUAAACGGCGGCCGUAACUAUAACGGUCCUAAGGUAGCGAAAUUCCUUGUCGGGUAAGUUCCGACCUGCACGAAUGGCGUAAUGAUGGCGAGGCUGUCUCCACCCGAGACUCAGUGAAAUUGAACUCGCUGUGAAGAUGCAGUGUACCCGCGGCAAGACGGAAAGACCCCGUGAACCUUUACUAUAGCUUGACACUGAACAUUGAGCCUUGAUGUGUAGGAUAGGUGGGAGGCUUUGAAGUGUGGACGCCAGUCUGCAUGGAGCCGACCUUGAAAUACCACCCUUUAAUGUUUGAUGUUCUAACGUUGACCCGUAAUCCGGGUUGCGGACAGUGUCUGGUGGGUAGUUUGACUGGGGCGGUCUCCUCCUAAAGAGUAACGGAGGAGCACGAAGGUUGGCUAAUCCUGGUCGGACAUCAGGAGGUUAGUGCAAUGGCAUAAGCCAGCUUGACUGCGAGCGUGACGGCGCGAGCAGGUGCGAAAGCAGGUCAUAGUGAUCCGGUGGUUCUGAAUGGAAGGGCCAUCGCUCAACGGAUAAAAGGUACUCCGGGGAUAACAGGCUGAUACCGCCCAAGAGUUCAUAUCGACGGCGGUGUUUGGCACCUCGAUGUCGGCUCAUCACAUCCUGGGGCUGAAGUAGGUCCCAAGGGUAUGGCUGUUCGCCAUUUAAAGUGGUACGCGAGCUGGGUUUAGAACGUCGUGAGACAGUUCGGUCCCUAUCUGCCGUGGGCGCUGGAGAACUGAGGGGGGCUGCUCCUAGUACGAGAGGACCGGAGUGGACGCAUCACUGGUGUUCGGGUUGUCAUGCCAAUGGCACUGCCCGGUAGCUAAAUGCGGAAGAGAUAAGUGCUGAAAGCAUCUAAGCACGAAACUUGCCCCGAGAUGAGUUCUCCCUGACUCCUUGAGAGUCCUGAAGGAACGUUGAAGACGACGACGUUGAUAGGGUGUGUAAGCGCAGCGAUGCGUUGAGCUAACCGGUACUAAUGAACCGUGAGGCUUAACCU